Molecule: long non-coding RNA, 1068 nt
Organism: Protopterus annectens (West African lungfish)
Lineage: Eukaryota; Metazoa; Chordata; Ceratodontiformes; Protopteridae
Exons: 5
Source: RefSeq, a predicted model, not a curated record
GUCUACAUUAGGAAGUUGCAUCACGUGGUGCCAUCUUUAAACUGCUUAAAACUCAAACUUUCACAAGCCACAGCUCCUCUGCUUAUUGUGCACACCAAGAAUGAUGCGGAUAUGCAGAUUUUGUCUGGAUAUACUUAAGACCUGCUAGAGAGACAGAACUUAAAUUAAAUUUGCCCAGCAUGCUUCCUCCUCUUCCAACUACUAAAAUUAUAUGCAAAACACGUGAACAAAAGAAGGAGUGCAUUUCUUCAAGUGCAGUGAGAACCCAGAGCUAUCAAAGUGAUGAUAUGUUGUAGCGGAUUCAUGCUGGCUUAAACUAAAGGUAAUGCUGGAUUAUCCACUAGAAGCAUGAUUCAUGACACCAGUGAAAAAUCCAAGUGGAGCUGCAGAAGAUAAUUUAAUAGAACUCUGUUCCGGAUUCAUAUUAAGAUCAAGAAUGUCUCUGGCAUGUUGAAAAGCCAUUUCAUAUGCCUGAAUGAGUCUGGGGUAUCCCUCAAUAUGGCCCAGCUACUGCAUGCAACAGCAUGGUCAUGCAGUGGUCUACUGGUGAAAUGACCCUUCUUGUCACUGUAGCUCUCAGUUCAAGUCCUACUAUGAUUACUGAUGGCCAGCUAGCUGCAGUAGUAAGAGAUCAGACCCCCCCCAAAAAAAAAUAAACGAGAGAUUUUUAGUUCCCUCUCACCUUCUUUGGUGAAUAAACCUGGACAAAGCUAAAGUAACAGGGAGGGGGUGUAAAGGACUAAAAUUAGGGAUACAUUUAAUACAUUACUCUUUUAAACUUAGAAAGCUGCUAGAACAACAAAUGUUGCAUUGGCACAUAUUUUCUCAAGGAUAUGAAGUCUGAAACUGAAAUGUCUCUCACUACUUAAUGAUUACGAUUCACAAGUAUUUGCCAGAAAACUGCAUAUUUUAUAAGGAUCAGAAAAAAAAAAAUAAAAGUCUGGACACAUGAGAAGUUCUGGAUAGUUGAGAGAGGUUUUUGCUGCUCAACAACUCUCCUCAGGAAUUCUUUGCAAGGAUAAAAAUAACAGUGUAAAAGUAAUGGUAAAGGACCAAGAUUAGGGGCAC